UUGAACGCUGGCGGCUGCUUAACACAUGCAAGUCGAACGGAGUGGCGAACGGGUGAGUAACGCGUGAGCAACCUGCCUAUGACAGUGGGAUAGCCUCGGGAAACCGGGAUUAAUACAGCAUAGUCAUAGAUGGGCUCGCGUCUGAUUAGCUAGUUGGUGAGAUAACAGCCCACCAAGGCAACGAUCAGUAGCCGGUCUGAGAGGAUGAACGGCCACAUUGGAACUGGGACACGGUCCAAACUCCUACGGGAGGCAGCAGGCGGGAAUAUGGCACAAUGGGGGAAACCCUGAUGCAGUGACGCCGCGUGAACGAAGAAGGUAUUAGUAUCGUAAAGUUCUGUCCUAUGUGAAUCAGUACCAUAGAAGAAAGCUCCGGCUAAAUACGUGCCAGCAGCCGCGGUAAUUC
Molecule: ribosomal RNA, 406 nt
Filed under: uncultured bacterium
Lineage: Bacteria
Description: partial 16S ribosomal RNA
Rfam family: Bacterial small subunit ribosomal RNA
Source: RNAcentral